AGAGUUUGAUCCUGGCUCAGAUUGAACGCUGGCGGCAGGCUUAACACAUGCAAGUCGAGCGGUAACAGGGGGAGCUUGCUCCCCGCUGACGAGCGGCGGACGGGUGAGUAAUGCAUAGGAAACUGCCCAGUAGUGGGGGAUAGCCCGGGGAAACCCGGAUUAAUACCGCAUACGCCCUUUGGGGGAAAGCAGGGGAUCUUCGGACCUUGCGCUAUUGGAUGUGCCUAUGUCGGAUUAGCUAGUUGGUGGGGUAAGAGCCUACCAAGGCGACGAUCCGUAGCUGGUCUGAGAGGAUGAUCAGCCACAUCGGGACUGAGACACGGCCCGAACUCCUACGGGAGGCAGCAGUGGGGAAUAUUGGACAAUGGGGGCAACCCUGAUCCAGCCAUGCCGCGUGUGUGAAGAAGGCUUUCGGGUUGUAAAGCACUUUCAGUGAGGAGGAAAACCUUACGACUAAUACUCGUGAGGCUUGACGUUACUCACAGAAGAAGCACCGGCUAACUCCGUGCCAGCGGCCGCGGUAAUACGGAGGGUGCAAGCGUUAAUCGGAAUUACUGGGCGUAAAGCGCGCGUAGGUGGUUUGAUAAGCGAGAUGUGAAAGCCCCGG
Molecule: ribosomal RNA, 607 nt
Filed under: uncultured Gammaproteobacteria bacterium
Lineage: Bacteria; Pseudomonadati; Pseudomonadota; Gammaproteobacteria
Description: bacterial SSU rRNA
Rfam family: Bacterial small subunit ribosomal RNA
Source: RNAcentral